Long non-coding RNA from Pseudopipra pipra, 521 nucleotides. RefSeq lists it as uncharacterized. The record is from RefSeq and is a predicted model, not a curated record. The transcript has 4 exons. NCBI's taxonomy places the organism in Eukaryota, Metazoa, Chordata, Aves, Passeriformes, Pipridae.
CUGUAUCUGUGAGGUAAUUCAUGGCUCUGGAUUUGGCUGUGAUGUGAUGAGAGUGGGAGACGAGUUUCAAAGUAUGCUGACUAUAGAGGGCAUUCAAAUAAAAAAAGAGCACUGCCUAUGUACAGGUCUAGUUUGAGUUUUGUUGUGAAGCACCGGAUUCAUUCAUACAUCAAAGGGAACCUAAGGCAUCAGAGCCCACAUAGACAGAAAACAAAGGCACUGUUUACAAGGCGGAAACUUGCUGAGAGAAGCAGCUGAGUUUUGCAAGGCUCACCCACUGACUGCCACCUUGGAGAGUGCCUUGGACUGCAGAAGUACAGUGGACUUCCAGUCCUCCAGUCCUUCACAAAACUUGGAGGAGCCCCUUGUCAGCAAGAAACUUUGACAGCUAUCACAGAACCCUGGCUACCUCUGCGUGUAAGUGACUUCUUGUGGUAUCACAGUAGACGUUUCUUCAAGGAGAUAUUCAGAAAAGAAAAGCACUUCACAUGUUCAUUAAACUACAGCAUUUUACUAGAAAA